ACGGCAGAGAGCAAACAACUAAAUAUUCUAAAUUUUAAAAAAGUAGCAUUCCAUCAUUUUUUUUUUUAUAUUAGAUAUUAAGUUAAAAGUGAAUUUUGUAAAAAAAAAAUGUGAGCUAACAGUAAAAAUUCAGCAAGCAGAAAAAAACAACAAAAAAGUUUUAAAAAAAUGUGAGCAAAAUUAUUUUAUUGAAAAAUUUGAUAUUUAAAAAAGUUUAAUUUUCGAAUUUUUUUUUUAGAUAUUAAGUUGAAAGUUUAUUUUGUAAAAAUAAUGUGUGCCAAACCGGAAACUUCAGCGAGAAACAACAACUAACAAGAAAAAAACGUGAGAAAAAUUAUUUUUUUCCAUUAAUAUUUUUUAAUUGAAAUAAUAUCUUUUUUACAGUUAUCGGUAUUAAUAUGUGACGGCAGCACAUCAGCACAGCGGAUCAUUGGUCGCACAAGCCAGAGGAUUAAGUCUCUCUCUAGUACACCAAACACCCAAAUACACACAAACAUUCAGCCACUUUUGCAAUACACCCAAAGGUUAUUCUUCAGGUUUAUUUCAAAAGAAAAUAUUUUGUUCCUGUUCGAAGUAAUAUUUAUUUGAACUUUAUUCCCCCAUCCAGCUGAUUUAAACACAUUCUUCCAAUUCAAAUCAUCUGCAUCUUCAUCUUCAAAACGUCUUCAAGAGGUUAAAGUUUAAUGGUUCAACACUGUCUGUGGAUUAUCUGGGUCUUCAAUUUGUGCUUUGGCUGUGACUGGCAAAUUCUGGUUCUCUGGGGAUCUUUUCUUUUCUCAAUGAUAAUGAAACCAUAUAUUUUGAUAUGAAAACCUUAUAUUUUGAUACUAAUAAAUUAUAUAUUUUGAUACGAAAAACAAA
Molecule: long non-coding RNA, 861 nt
Filed under: Drosophila guanche
Lineage: Eukaryota; Metazoa; Arthropoda; Insecta; Diptera; Drosophilidae
Source: RNAcentral